CCUACGGGUGGCAGCAGUGAGGAAUAUUGGUCAAUGGACGAGAGUCUGAACCAGCCAAGUAGCGUGAAGGAUGACUGCCCUAUGGGUUGUAAACUUCUUUUAUAUGGGAAUAAAAUGUUCCACGUGUGGGAUUUUGUAUGUACCAUAUGAAUAAGGAUCGGCUAACUCCGUUCCAGCCGCCGCGGUAAUACGGAGGAUCCGAGGGUUAUCCGGAUUUGUUGGGUUUAAAGGGAGCGUAGGUGGAUUGUUAAGUCAGUUGUGAAAGUUUGCGGCUCAACCGUAAAAUUGCAGUUGAAACUGGCAGUCUUGAGUACAGUAGAGGUGGGCAGAAUUCGUGGUGUAGCGGUGAAAUGCUUAGAUAUCACGAAGAACUCCGAUUGCGAAGGCAGCUCACUGGACUGCAACUGACACUGAGGCUCGAAAGUGUGGGUAUCAAACAGGAUUAGAUACCCCAGUAGUC
RNAcentral lists this ribosomal RNA (460 nucleotides) under uncultured bacterium. Its description in RNAcentral is "partial 16S ribosomal RNA". It matches the Rfam family "Bacterial small subunit ribosomal RNA", at positions 338 to 795 of the family's 1533-position model. The record is from RNAcentral.